This 72-nucleotide transfer RNA is filed under the name Deltaproteobacteria bacterium. RNAcentral describes it as "tRNA-Gly". It matches the Rfam family "tRNA". Rfam says of the family: Transfer RNA (tRNA) molecules are approximately 80 nucleotides in length. Their secondary structure includes four short double-helical elements and three loops (D, anti-codon, and T loops). Further hydrogen bonds mediate the characteristic L-shaped molecular structure. tRNAs have two regions of fundamental functional importance: the anti-codon, which is responsible for specific mRNA codon recognition, and the 3' end, to which the tRNAs corresponding amino acid is attached (by aminoacyl-tRNA synthetases). tRNAs cope with the degeneracy of the genetic code in two manners: having more than one tRNA (with a specific anti-codon) for a particular amino acid; and 'wobble' base-pairing, i.e. permitting non-standard base-pairing at the 3rd anti-codon position. The record is from RNAcentral. Lineage: Bacteria; Pseudomonadati; Myxococcota; Myxococcia.
GCGGGAAUAGCUCAGUGGAAGAGCAUCAGCCUUCCAAGCUGAGGGUCGCGGGUUCGAAUCCCGUUUCCCGCU